GCAUGUCUAAGUAUAAACAAAUUCAUACUGUGAAACUGCGAAUGGCUCAUUAAAUCAGUUAUAGUUUAUUUGAUGGUACCUUACUACAUGGAUAACUGUGGUAAUUCUAGAGCUAAUACAUGCUGAAAAGCCCCGACUUCCGGAAGGGGUGUAUUUAUUAGAUAAAAAACCAAUGGCGGGUAACCGUCUUGCGUUGAUUCAUGAUAACUUCUCGAAUCGCAUGGCCUUGCGCCGGCGAUGCUUCAUUCAAAUAUCUGCCCUAUCAACUUUCGAUGGUAGGAUAGAGGCCUACCAUGGUUAUGACGGGUAACGGGGAAUAAGGGUUCGAUUCCGGAGAGAGGGCCUGAGAAACGGCCCUCAGUCCUAAGGGACGCAGCAGGCGCGCAAAUUAUCCCAUCCCGACACGGGGAGAUAGUGACAAUAAAUAACAAUAUAGGGCUCUAUUGGGUCUUAUAAUUGGAAUGAGUACAAUUUAAAUCCCUUAACGAGGAUCAAUUGGAGGGCAAGUCUGGUGCCAGCAGCCGCGGUAAUUCCAGCUCCAAUAGCGUAUAUUAAAGUUGUUGCCGUUAAAAAGCUCGUAGUCGAACUUCGGCCUUUGCCGCCCGGUCCGCCCUAUGGGUGUGUACUGGAGCGGUGGAGGCUUACCUCGUGGUGAACGGCCAUGCUCUUUACUGGGUGUGGUCGGGAACCAUGAUUUUUACUUUGAAAAAAUUAGAGUGUUCAAAGCAGGCUUACGCCCGAAUACAUUAGCAUGGAAUAAUAAAAUAGGACGUGCGGUUCUAUUUUGUUGGUUUCUAGAAUCGCCGUAAUGAUUAAUAGGGAUAGUUGGGGGCAUUCGUAUUCAAUUGCUAGAGGUGAAAUUCUUGGAUUUAUUGAAGACGAACUACUGCGAAAGCAUUUGCCAAGGAUGUUUUCAUUGAUCAAGAACGAAGGUUAGGGGAUCGAAAACGAUCAGAUACCGUUGUAGUCUUAACAGUAAACGAUGCCGACUAGGGAUCGGACGAGGAUUUUUAAUGACUCGUUCGGCACCUNAAGAGAAAUCUUUAAGUCUAGGUUCGGGGGG
This 1063-nucleotide ribosomal RNA is filed under the name Buckleyzyma aurantiaca. RNAcentral's name for it is "SSU rRNA". It matches the Rfam family "Eukaryotic small subunit ribosomal RNA", at positions 53 to 1120 of the family's 1831-position model. Lineage: Eukaryota; Fungi; Basidiomycota; Cystobasidiomycetes; Buckleyzymales; Buckleyzymaceae. The record is from RNAcentral.